UUAAAUUGAAGAGUUUGAUCAUGGCUCAGAUUGAACGCUGGCGGCAGGCCUAACACAUGCAAGUCGAACGGUAACAGGAAGCAGCUUGCUGCUUUGCUGACGAGUGGCGGACGGGUGAGUAAUGUCUGGGAAACUGCCUGAUGGAGGGGGAUAACUACUGGAAACGGUGGCUAAUACCGCAUAACGUCGCAAGACCAAAGAGGGGGACCUUCGGGCCUCUUGCCAUCAGAUGUGCCCAGAUGGGAUUAGCUAGUUGGUGAGGUAACGGCUCACCAAGGCGACGAUCCCUAGCUGGUCUGAGAGGAUGACCAGCCACACUGGAACUGAGACACGGUCCAGACUCCUACGGGAGGCAGCAGUGGGGAAUAUUGCACAAUGGGCGCAAGCCUGAUGCAGCCAUGCCGCGUGUAUGAAGAAGGCCUUCGGGUUGUAAAGUACUUUCAGCGGGGAGGAAGGUGUUGUGGUUAAUAACCGCAGCAAUUGACGUUACCCGCAGAAGAAGCACCGGCUAACUCCGUGCCAGCAGCCGCGGUAAUACGGAGGGUGCAAGCGUUAAUCGGAAUUACUGGGCGUAAAGCGCACGCAGGCGGUCUGUCAAGUCGGAUGUGAAAUCCCCGGGCUCAACCUGGGAACUGCAUUCGAAACUGGCAGGCUUGAGUCUUGUAGAGGGGGGUAGAAUUCCAGGUGUAGCGGUGAAAUGCGUAGAGAUCUGGAGGAAUACCGGUGGCGAAGGCGGCCCCCUGGACAAAGACUGACGCUCAGGUGCGAAAGCGUGGGGAGCAAACAGGAUUAGAUACCCUGGUAGUCCACGCCGUAAACGAUGUCUACUUGGAGGUUGUGCCCUUGAGGCGUGGCUUCCGGAGCUAACGCGUUAAGUAGACCGCCUGGGGAGUACGGCCGCAAGGUUAAAACUCAAAUGAAUUGACGGGGGCCCGCACAAGCGGUGGAGCAUGUGGUUUAAUUCGAUGCAACGCGAAGAACCUUACCUGGUCUUGACAUCCACAGAACUUUCCAGAGAUGGAUUGGUGCCUUCGGGAACUGUGAGACAGGUGCUGCAUGGCUGUCGUCAGCUCGUGUUGUGAAAUGUUGGGUUAAGUCCCGCAACGAGCGCAACCCUUAUCCUUUGUUGCCAGCGGUCCGGCCGGGAACUCAAAGGAGACUGCCAGUGAUAAACUGGAGGAAGGUGGGGAUGACGUCAAGUCAUCAUGGCCCUUACGACCAGGGCUACACACGUGCUACAAUGGCGCAUACAAAGAGAAGCGACCUCGCGAGAGCAAGCGGACCUCAUAAAGUGCGUCGUAGUCCGGAUUGGAGUCUGCAACUCGACUCCAUGAAGUCGGAAUCGCUAGUAAUCGUGGAUCAGAAUGCCACGGUGAAUACGUUCCCGGGCCUUGUACACACCGCCCGUCACACCAUGGGAGUGGGUUGCAAAAGAAGUAGGUAGCUUAACCUUCGGGAGGGCGCUUACCACUUUGUGAUUCAUGACUGGGGUGAAGUCGUAACAAGGUAACCGUAGGGGAACCUGCGGUUGGAUCACCUCCUUACCUUAAAGAAGC
RNAcentral lists this ribosomal RNA (1556 nucleotides) under Salmonella enterica subsp. enterica serovar Newport. RNAcentral's name for it is "bacterial SSU rRNA". It matches the Rfam family "Bacterial small subunit ribosomal RNA". Lineage: Bacteria; Pseudomonadati; Pseudomonadota; Gammaproteobacteria; Enterobacterales; Enterobacteriaceae. The record is from RNAcentral.